This 440-nucleotide ribosomal RNA is filed under the name uncultured bacterium. RNAcentral's name for it is "partial 16S ribosomal RNA". It matches the Rfam family "Bacterial small subunit ribosomal RNA", at positions 338 to 795 of the family's 1533-position model. The record is from RNAcentral.
CCUACGGGAGGCAGCAGUGGGGAAUAUUGCACAAUGGGGGGAACCCUGAUGCAGCGACGCCGCGUGGGUGAAGGAGUACUUCGGUACGUAAAGCCCUAUCAGCAGGACAGAAAAUGACGGUACCUGACUAAGAAUCCCCGGCUAACUACGUGCCAGCAACCGCGGUAAUACGUAGGGUGCAAGCGUUGUCCGGAUUUACUGGGUGUAAAGGGGUCGUAGACGGCAGUGCAAGUCCGGAGUGAAAGCCCGGGGCUCAACCCUGGGACUGCUCUGGAAACUGGAAAGCUGGAGUGCGGGAGGGGCAGGAGGAAUUCCGGGUGUAGCGGGGAAAUGCGUAGAUAUCAGGAGGAACACCGGAGGCGAAGGCGGCCUGCUGGACCGUAACUGACGUUGAGGAUCGAAAGCGUGGGGAGCAAACAGGAUUAGAGACCCUGGUAGUC